Molecule: ribosomal RNA, 1354 nt
Filed under: metagenome
Description: bacterial LSU rRNA
Rfam family: Bacterial large subunit ribosomal RNA
Source: RNAcentral
UCUGAUCACGAGAGCACUUAAGAUCUCGAAGUGUGUGGAAGGGUGUCCAAGAAAAACUUCUAAACGUUAAAGCAAGGUUGACCGUACUAAAACUGACACAGGUAGGUAAGAAGAGUAUUCUAAGGCGCUCGGGAGAACGGUGGUUAAGGAACUCUGCAAAAUGGCUCCGUAAGUUCGCGAUAAGGGGCGCCUACGAAAGUAGGCCACAGAAAAUCGGCACUAGCGACUGUUUAUCAAAAACACAGGACUCUGCGAACUCGUAAGAGGAGGUAUAGAGUCUGACGCCUGCCCGGUGCUGGUAGGUUAAGGAAGAGAGUUAGCAGCAAUGCGAAGCCCGCGACCGAAGCCCCAGUAAACGGCGGCCCUAACUAUGAGGGUCCUAAGGUAGCGAAGUUCCUUGUCGGGUAAGUUCCGACCUGCAUGAAAGGCGUAACGACUGGUGCACUGUCUCAACCACCGACCCGGUGAAAUUGUAGUUGUGGUGAGGAUGCCACAUACCCGCGGCUAGACGGAAAGACCCCAUGAACCUUCACUGUAGGCUGAUAUUGGGUUGAGGUAUGUAUUGUGCAGAAUAGCUGGGAGGCUUUGAACCGGGGACGCAAGUUCACGGGGAGCCAUCGUUGAGAUACCAGCCUGUAUAUGCUUUAAUUCUAACUUUGACCCAUGAAUCUGGACUUAGGACAUUGUCAGUUGGGCAGUUUGACUGGGGCGGUCUCCUCCUAAAGAGUAACGGAGGAGCGCAAUGGUACCCUCAGCCUGGUCGGCAAUCAGGCAAAGAGCGUAAAGGUAUAAGGGUGCUUGACUGCGAGACAAAUGAGUCGAGCAGGUACGAAAGUAGGUCUUAGUGAUCCGGUAAUUCCGAAUGGAAGGGUUAUCGCUCAUCAGAUAAAAGGUACUCUGGGGAUAACAGGCUUAUCGCCACCGAGCGUCCACAGCGGCGUGGCGGUUUGGCACCUCGAUGUCGGCUCAUCGCAUCCUGGGGGUGAAGAAGCUCCCAAGGGUUUGGCUGUUCGCCAAUGAAAGCGGUACGUGAGCUGGGUUCAGACCGUCGUGAGACAGGUCGGUCCCUAUCUACCGUGGGCGCACGAAACUUGAAGAGGUUCAACCUUAGUACGAGAGGAUUUGGUUGGACGUAGCUCUGGUGUACCAGUUGUCACGCUAGUGGCACGGCUGGAUAGCUAACUACGGAAAGGAUAAACGCUGAAAGCAUCUAAGCGUGAAGCCCUCUCUGAGAUGAGGUUUCGUAGCUACUUGUAGCGAGAGUCCCCUGGUAGACUACCAGGUUGAUAGGCUAGAUGUGUAAGCACCGUAAGGUGUUCAGCUUACUAGUACUAAUGGACGAACGCUUGACCAU